GUUUGGCUCUCCAUCACUGUUUCUCUCCGUCUCCAAGCAACCCCAGCUUGCUGUGCGUGUUGCCUCUGCCUUUCUACCCACUUUGUUGUACCUUCAUCACCUUCUGUCAGCGUGCGUGCGUUCGUUCGUUGGCCUCAUCUAUUUCCGGAAAAGGUGGGAAAUAAGCUUCACACGUUUCCAGUGGCUACUGUGAAAGAGAUUGAUGUUGCCCG
RNAcentral lists this long non-coding RNA (212 nucleotides) under Lotus japonicus. RNAcentral describes it as "long non-coding RNA (LJAP_LNC001370)". Lineage: Eukaryota; Viridiplantae; Streptophyta; Magnoliopsida; Fabales; Fabaceae. The record is from RNAcentral.